RNAcentral lists this ribosomal RNA (275 nucleotides) under uncultured bacterium. RNAcentral describes it as "partial 16S ribosomal RNA". It matches the Rfam family "Bacterial small subunit ribosomal RNA", at positions 338 to 630 of the family's 1533-position model. The record is from RNAcentral.
CCUACGGGGGGCUGCAGUGGGGAAUAUUGGACAAUGGGGGAAACCCUGAUCCAGCAAUGCCGCGUGAGUGAUGAAGGUCUUCGGAUUGUAAAGCUCUUUUGGCAGGGACGAUGAUGACGGUACCUGCAGAAUAAGCUCCGGCUAACUUCGUGCCAGCAGCCGCGGUAAUACGAAGGGAGCAAGCGUUGUUCGGAUUUACUGGGCGUAAAGGGUGUGUAGGCGGUUUUGCAAGUUGGAUGUGAAAGCCCCGGGCUUAACUCGGGAAUAGCAUUCAA